Molecule: long non-coding RNA, 1049 nt
Filed under: Zostera marina
Lineage: Eukaryota; Viridiplantae; Streptophyta; Magnoliopsida; Alismatales; Zosteraceae
Description: long non-coding RNA (ZMAR_LNC001939)
Source: RNAcentral
UGAAAGGUUAACCACCGAUUUUUAAACCUUAGUCACUAAGAACUGAGCAUUGUGUUUUCUCUUUUGACGACUAUAAACCAAAGUAUCUUGAGGUUGAAGUUGAGUUCGAUCUUGAGUGGUAAACGGUCGAGCUUGACUACUUCUAGUCAGGUGUUCAGUUGCUCUAAUUAUCUCCUUCAUCGCCAUAAUUCAUUGCAUGCUUCAGAGUUCAGAAUCAUCGAUGACUCAUUCACUUGAGUCAAGACAUCGUAUUUGGAUGGAAGCAUAUUUCUUGGAGCCACUUUCAAUGAGUAAUUUGUUUCUUUUGAGCCUCUCACUCAACUUCAUGUUGUAGUUGACGUAAGUGAGGUUAGCAAGUCAAGUGACACCCAACCGACUCUGUGUAAAACUGCAAAUGACAUUUGACAUUAGAGUUUUUAAAUGUCAAAUGACCUAAAAUAGGUAAUCAAAGAAGCAAAAAGUUUACAAAUGUGAAAGUACUCUAUAAAAAAUCGUAACUUGAAGUAGAGAAAGAGAAACAUAACUUGAAUAUUUAUUACCGUAUCGGCAACGCCUAAACAAAUCCGAUUACCCCUUGCGCACUUCGACCAAUCAAGCUUCCUCAAGAUUUCCUUGGCUUCAUUUAGGCUUUGUAGGGUGAGGAAACUAAGCUCACGAUGGCCGUCGGAUUUGAAGUAAAAGAAGCUUUUUAGUAAAAAAAAGGUUUGGGGACAUCUGGAUUGUCGUCGGAUCUGAAGUUCUGGAAGAAACCAAGCUCUGGAAGGGGAAAUUGCCGUUGUUAUUUUUUAAAUAGACUAGACGGUAGGGGAAACAAAUAGACUAGACGGUAGGGGAAACAACGGGACGGUUUGCCGCUGGUCAGCUUUGCCCCGUGUCCCAGUCUAUGAAGACCGGGGCAAAACUGGGGCGGAGUGCGAACGGAGCAGUGGUGAGGCGGGGCAAAAUAAGAAGGAUUUUGAUGGUUUUUCUCGCCCCGAAAAAACAACGGGGCGGAAAAAAUUACUUUUUUGAAAAAUCCCUGCUCUAACCCCAUUCCCAUCGGGGCAUGG